GCGCGGGUGGCGAAAUUGGUAGACGCACUACCUUGAGGUGGUAGCACCCGAAAGGGUAUGGAAGUUCGAGUCUUCUCCCGCGCA
This 84-nucleotide transfer RNA is filed under the name Candidatus Magasanikiibacteriota bacterium. RNAcentral describes it as "tRNA-Leu". It matches the Rfam family "tRNA". Rfam says of the family: Transfer RNA (tRNA) molecules are approximately 80 nucleotides in length. Their secondary structure includes four short double-helical elements and three loops (D, anti-codon, and T loops). Lineage: Bacteria; Candidatus Magasanikiibacteriota. The record is from RNAcentral.